This 12061-nucleotide long non-coding RNA is filed under the name Nicotiana tabacum (common tobacco). Its description in RNAcentral is "long non-coding RNA (NTAB_LNC019231)". The record is from RNAcentral. Lineage: Eukaryota; Viridiplantae; Streptophyta; Magnoliopsida; Solanales; Solanaceae.
UGCUUAACAAUAUAAAUCACUAUUGAAUUCCAAACAUUAAUAACUAAACCAUGGAAACUACUUCAGUAACUCAACAUUAACAAACACACUAUAAAUUCUACAAUUAACACCAAAUUCAUAAGAAACUCAUAGGAGAACAAACAGUCACAGAAGUAAUUUUGCAUUUAUCGCCACUAUUAACAAGUAAAAUAAGAGAAGGGAGAGAUGUUGAACCUCAAUAUAAAUAAAAACAAGCAAUUACACAGAUCUUGACCCCAAAAUUUGAGCGAGGAAAUAACGACAAAAAUCUGACAGGAAACCGCAGACAAUGACUCGGAACCACGAACCACGACCUUGAAUAAGAACUCGAAUGCAAGAUUUGCCUCCCAAAAUUCGGAUCUCUUAAUCAAAAACUCAACACAGCUCCAUUUCAAAUCAGAAAAAUGAAGGCUUGAAAUCAGAUUCCGAUCAAACCCAAUCCAUCACCAUCCGCAAAUACUCGUGGUCGUUUGUACGGAUCUCAGAGACCUUUCACUGACUUUUUCUUUUUUUGCCUUUUUUAACACCGUUUUCUGAAAGAUUUCAAACAGUAAAUUUUCUUGUUGCAUGCAGUGACUAUAGUCCACCACCGAUGAGCAUGAAAUAAGGAAACUCUCAACGAUCGAGACAGAUCUAGGAUCCUAAAGUUGAUGGUUCGACCUAAGAUAUUUGGUACUAAACUGAUGGUGGGCGGCUAUUUUUAGAGCUGUUUCGUUGUGGCUUCAGGUGGUGUUUGACGGAGUUGCAACGGCGAUGGAGGUGAAGGAGGAAGUCUGUUUCGUGGUUGUUCCGGCGAGCUGAGUUGAGGAUGAUGAAGAAGAUUGCUGGUUGGUGUGAGGUCGUGAGAUAAAGAAGUAGCAGCGGCUACUUGUUAUGGUGUCUUGGCGUGAAAGAGAUGGAGGAGAGGCAGUGGUGUGGGGGUGCUGUGUAUGGAAGACGAUCAGCGACUCUAAGGUUCCUGGAAAUGGUUUCCUGUUCACAGGGGUGUUCGAACGGUUUUGUGAAGAUGAAGGAGAGAAAGUCUGAUGAGUGUUCUUUGGUUGAAGAAGAAAGUCACGGCUGGGGCUAGUUGAUUAGCUAGGAUUUUCUUUUGAAGAAGAUGAAGGUUGGGGUUCCAGCUGAAAACGGCUGCCAUCUCUCUUAGGUCUUAGGAUUUUUUUGUCUAGGUCUAGGUUUUAGGGUUAUUUUUAUGUUAGGAGAGUAUGGGCUUAGAAAUUAUGGGUUUGAAAAUUAUGGGCUAGAUCCGAAUUGGGUCAAAUUUUGGCCAAAUUUACCUUUAAAAAGUUGCCCUUUAACUCCACUAGACUAAAAGUAUUAAUUCCUAAAAUAAUAACUACAAAAUUAUGAAAUCAUUCCUAAUUAAUUAAAGUAAAAUUAAGAAUUAAAAGUGAAACUAUUUUUGUAUUUUUUAAAAUUUUAUGGAAGGUAUAUAAACUAAAAGUAACUAGAUAAAAUAUCAAUUAGCUAAAUUAAAGAAAAUACUUUUGUAAUUUUUAUUUUUGUGACAAAAUAAAGUAAAAGAGUGAAAAAUUAGUAAGUAGCGAUAUUAGACCUAAACUAAAUAUUUAACACUAAAAUGUGUAAAAUCUUAGGGAGGGUCAAAAAUUAUAUGUCUAUAACUUUCCCUCUUUGACUGGAAACACGAAGUAUUUUCCGACAAAGAACGAUGAGACAGGUUUUUUGAUCCGACCCUUAUUUAGAGAGACCAAAAACUAAAAGAAAGGAGAAUGUGACCGAGCCCUGGUGUCUGAGCUGCCUACAUAUCAUUAACUAUAAAGGAAUCAGGCCACGUGUAGUUCAAAAGUAGGAACAGUGAUGGAGUAAACCGAGGUGCAGAGCCGAUUAAGGUGUCGUUCCGUUGAGGUUCCGUUCCACGGUCCUGUUAUUACAUCGAAAAUCAAGAUUAAAAAAACUAACUAAGCCUAUCAGCUAAGAGUUACAAGAUUCCUAUCUAUGAGUCUUCUAAAGCUUGAUCUUGAGUCUUGGUUUGUUCUUCAUGCAGACUCUGAUCUGAAUUUGAUGCUUGUUAGCUGCAGGUGUUAGUUCAUUCUUCCACGGCUUCUUCGGAUCAAGACCGUACAUGCAGUGCUCGUGACUUCAGCCAUGUCUUGAGCAGCUCACAUCUUUCAUCUGCUUCUGCAUUUGUAUUCACUUCCCUCUUUUUUUCUUUUCUUUCUUUUUCUUGGAUUGAGACUUCUUCUUUGGUUAUCUCAAACCCUCGUGCCUCGAGGUAAAAACCAUAUUCUUCAGGCAACUCAUGCUACCUCCGAUUUAAAACUUGAAAUGAAUUCUGAAAUGACUUCCCCCAUUCUCCGGGUGGGUGCCUGCUACUGACUGGAAACUUGAAAUAAAUUCCCCCAUUCUCCGGGUGGGCGCCUGCUACUCACAUAAAACUUAAAAUGACUCUGAAUUGAAUUCUGAAAUGACUUCCCUCAUUCUCCAGGCGGGGUGCCUGCAACUUAAAAUUUGAAAUAAAUUCCCUUGUUCUCCAGGUGGGCGCCUGAUGCUGACUUAAAAUUUGAAAUAAAUUCCAUUUUUCUCCAGGUGGACGCCUGUAACUUAAACUUGAAAUGAAUUCCCUUAUUCUCCAGGUGGGCGCCUGCAACUUAAACUAGAUGUAUCAAACGGGCUAGGUUGACCCGGGAUCGGCCGUCCCAGACCGAUUGAAAACCAGACCGGUCCGGCCCGGUACUUAAGGGGCCGGGUGGGCUGGGUUACUGGGGUUAGGGGGUUGGUCCGUUCACUUUAAUUUAUCCGAUUAACCGGACCGGUCAAACCCGAUCAACCAAAAUCCCUAUAGAAUCGGUUAACCAGCCCGGCGCAGCCCGAACCGGUUUAAAGGCUAGAUUUCAAUUUUUUUUUUAAUUUUUUAAGGUUUUAGAGUCUAAGGCAAUGCAAAACCUUUGAAUUUACUUUUUUUUCGUUAAUUUACUUGUUGUUAAAUGUAAACCUUUAAAUUUGUAAGUUGGAAUUUUGAAAUAAAUGUUGCACUUGCCAUUUAUAAGUGCAAUUGUUUUCCAUUUUCAUUGUAUUCUUUAUAUUUUUACUCUAUAUUAAUAUAAAUUACAAUAGUUAUACAAAAUAAAAAAAAAACACUAACCCGGCCCGGCUCGGCCCCUUGGACCCGUAACCUUACGAUUCAUUUUUUUACACGGAUGAACCCGAACCCGUUAAGCCCGGGAACCCCUAACCCGUAACUGGCCCGGUUUGAAACUCGGACGGUUUUAACUUUUCCGUACCCAGCCCGGCCCACCGUUUAGACAUCCUUAACUUAAACUUGAAAUGAAUUACCUUGUUCUCCAGGUGGGCGCCUAAUGCUGACUUAAAAUUUGAAAUAAAUUCUCUUGUUCUCCAGGUGGGCGCUUGAUGCCGACUUAAAAUUUGAAAUAAAUUCCCUUGUUCUCCAGGUGGGCGCCAACAACUUAAACUUGAAAUGAAUUCCCUUGUUCUCCAGGUGAGCGCCUGAUGCUGACUUAAAAUUUGAAAUAAAUUCCCUUGUUCUCCAGGUGGGCACAUGCAACUGACUUAAAACUCGAAUGAAUUCCCUUGUUCUCAAGGUGGGCGCCUGCAACUGACUUAAAAUUUGAAAUAAAUUCCCUUGUUCUCCAGGUGGGCGCUUACCAUUACAACAAAACAGACAAAACAAAAGAAACUUUUCUUCCCUAGUUUGGUACCGGGAACAUCUGUGAGUGUUAAUGAAAUCAUGUUAUCCAAAAAAACUCUAAGAAUUUAAAAGCUAAAUCUCAUUAUCCAGGAGGGCCUUGAAAACUAAAAUUAAAUCUAAUCUUAAGAGUGAAAACUUGAAAGCUAAAUUCUAUUCCUAAAGGUAGAACUUACGCUAAAUCUCAUUAUCUAUGAGAGUCCUAAAAACUUAAAACUAAAUCCCAUUAUCCAGGAAGGUCAUGACAACUUAAAACUACAUCCCAUUAUCCAGGAGGGUCCUGAACUUAAGGAAAUCUAAAACUCUUCUGAUUGUGAAGAAUGUUUAGGAGGUACGAUUCUUCUCGACUAAGGAAAAUGUGCAGGAGGUAAAAACCUUCUUAACUAGGGGAAUGCCUAGCAAUUAAAACCUCCUCAAACAGCCUUUCUGCAGACAAAAUUAGGCACGACACUUGAAAAAUUCAAGCUUCCAAGCUUUGAUUUGGACAUAGUCUUCAUCCCUGUUUCAAACAAAGAAAACUUGUGAUUCAAACACGGUAGUUGGUUUGUGGCCUUGACUUUGAGGGAGAUUGCUCCUUCACUUCUCAUGAUAACUUUAAUUUCAACUCGAAAGACCUUGCUUAUUUAUUGAAUAACCACUUUCUCUGUCACCCUUAUCACAGAAAAUACCUCUGAUCUGUUCAAACCCAACAUCCUCUAUCUGUUGCAUUGUGCUCAUGAAUUGACAUAUACCGAACCUUUGUAUUUCACAUGAAUCCCAAAACAUGUCAAUUGCCACCCACUCAGUGCGCAUACUGUGCUUUCCUAACUUAUGCCGCUUUGAUGUGCUAGCCAGAUUCCGUUUUGUGCAAUUGGAAGGCAGGUAACAAAUUUUGAAGUUAUUUCUCACUUGUUCUAGCCAAAUAGACUCAAGAAAAGGGAGUAAACAAAACAAAGGGAACAAAGUAAGAGACAAUGGAAAGAGAUGAUAUCUAACAAGAAAAUUACAAAGUAGAAACUUAUCAGAUGUGGAUACCAACUCUAAUGACCAUGACAUGCAUUUUUAGAUUAAGUGGCCUAAUCUGUCAAGCAAGUCUAAUGUUUAACUCUUGUUUUACCUCUGAGUCAUGAAACUGAGCUUCAAUGCUCCGAUUAUCCUAUCUGAUUCACAGUCCUUAUUCGACUUGUAGUGCCCGAAGGAUUUUUACCAUCAAGCCUCUCUCAUUUCUUCUUUCUCUCAAUUCACCGUCGCCUUAUGGUUCCUGUGAAGGUUUUCAUCAAUAAGACUCUCUCAUUUUGUUCUUUUUAUUUUUACUUCCUCCGAUUUUGUAGAUGACAAGGCAUUGACCAUAGUAAAAACAUCAUAUGCUCCUGGCAUGUCUAGCUCGGCACUCUCAAAGAUUACCUAGGAGGUCUUUUUGGACUGUAAUGUGGCUUUUGGACAGGGUUAGAAAGUAAGGAUAUCACAAAGGCUCAAAAUAACUAAAACAACGGGGUUGAUUUAUUUACAACUUUUGGAAUCCAUUCUAAAAACUUUACCCAAUUUCUAAAACAAGGGAAUUUGAAUCUUUUUUUCUUUUUCUUUUUGAGAUGAAAUUUCUAAGAAAGACUGCCCCACUCUCAACUUCGUGGGAUUAUGAAAUAUUUUAUUUGGUGCGACCGAACCUUAAGGUUGCCUACGUAUCUUGUGGCGACAAGAAUUAGGUCGAACGUAAUUCAACGAAAUACUUUUUGUUACUAUUUUUCUUUCUUUUUUCUUUUUCUUUUUUUUCCUUUAUCUCUAUUUUUCUUUUUUUUUUCUUUUUUUUUGAAUUUCCCUUAUGGAAUGAACUCUCUAAAACAAACCUAUGGGUAAAUGAACCUUUUUUUCUUUUUCGUAUGACUCUAACUUGAUUCCAAAAGAGGAGAGAUAAAGAAAUCAGCACAGGCUCAAAGGGUAUCCAAGGAUAUAAAGUGUUUGGGUAGCUGAAAGAGGGACUCUCAAUCCCUAAAAAUGCCAAGUACAACACAUGCAACUUGAGGAUGAAAAUUGAAGAUCAUGCACAAUAUUUCUUUUGCGACUUCGGCAAUGGUAUCACUGAUAUGCCUUCCAUUUUUCUUUAGCGCCUUGUUAAGUAUAAAAAUCUCGUUGGGUGAUUCCUUCUUCACAAUGGAUAUCCUCCCUCAAUUCGGAGCAAACUCUCUUGACUUUAUCUUGUAAAUUGAGGUGCACUUGAACUCAAAACUGCUUGCUUCAAAUUGUUUGGGAUUCACUCUCCUUUAACGAAUUCUUGUCAUCUUAUCAACUUCCCAAAUUAUCUGCCUCAGUUUCACACAUUUCGGGCUUUAAAUGAUCUCACAAUGUCUAAAUAUGUACUUAUUUCCCUCAAACGUCCCUAUCAUCUUCAAAAUUGUUUCAUUGCUUUGUAAUUAGACUAAUGUUUAAGAAUAAGCCUUCAAUUAUGCGUGCAUGUCAUGUCACUAGAGCCAGCAUUAAAAAAACUAUUAAAGAAAAAGCAAACUAAACAAAAAUUGACUAAAAAUAACAGAAAUAGGAAAUUGCAUUAGACAGACGGUGAAAGGGUUUGAACAACAAAACAAGCAAAAUAAGCUAGGGUUACAACCCUGGAACAAACCUAGAUAACACUAAACGAGUUACUACGACUAAACGAACUAGGAAAAAUAAAAGGAUAGAAGGGUUUGAAUCACAAGACAAUAUCCGGAUUACAACCCUGAAAUUACCCGGAAAACAGAAAUGAAAACAAAAUAAACCACCAAAACUUCUCUCUAACUAACCAAGAAAAGAGUGUCUUUCCAAUUACUAAGCUCGACAUGUUAGCCACUGAGUCGCACAUCGAUGUUACUAGAACCUUUGCAAGUCUCCAUCAUGUUGUCCUUAGCAAAUAGCUUUUGGGUACCUUUUGCCAACUCACUCUUAAGAUCAACUUCCGGAACCGAGACUGAUACUGCUGAAAGCUUUGCGGAAAGUGCCCCCCCAAGGGACUCAGAAGAGUUCUCGUAUUCCAUUUCAACACAAACCAUACCCACCAUGUGCGUCUCAUUAAGAACAUGCAGUGGACUUUGGCUAGUGUCUAAUGCAUCUGGAUUUUGCACGACAAUGUCACUUGCGUCAACAAGCUUCUGGACUGCUCUUUUCAGAUUCCAACACUUUUCGAUGAUGUGCCUCAGGGGAUUUGAGCAAUAUGCACACCUCUGAGAAUAAUCAAAAUUCUCUGGAAGGGGGUUCAGCAUUUUUAUCUGAAUCGGCUUUAACAUGCCCAAUUGCCUCAAUCUUUGGAACAAACUGGCACAUGAUUCUCCAAUAGGAGUGAAAGACUUUUCUCUUUGUUGCUGCCUUUUCAUUUUGUACUAUGGCCUGGACUGAAACCUCUUGCAGGCAGGUGGUUGAUAUGCUUAUAGAGGUGGGUAAGACAUUUUUGGAGACGGUGCAAGCCACUGCGGGUCUUGUGGAUGUGGAGUAUAUAGCGGUGCAUUGUGGAUAAAGUACUGGGAAAGUGAGGUAUGACUUUGGUGAUUUUGUGGAGAGAAGUAGCAUUGGGGAGAAUUAUCUGGAGUAUGAUGAUAUUUAUGGGGAUGAUAUUGGGGCUGAAAGUGUUGAUCAGGAAAACCCACUGGAUCUUGUCGUCGGCGGGGUUCAACGACAUCUUUUCUAUUUCUCUUUCUUCCCCCCAAAUUUACUGAGAUGUUCUGAAUGUUUUCUAUAGUAUAUUUCAAUGCAGAAUAACUCAUGAUUUUUCCUAUCUUGAUUCCUUCUUCUACUAUCUCCCCCAUCUUUACCACAUCAUUGAAAGGUUUACCCAAAGCCGGGAUCAAAUGACUGAAGCAGAUGGCCCCUUAGGCUUGUAGAAAAAUCUCACCCAUUUCUUCUUCACCAAUCGGGGAACUGACUCGAGCAGCUUGUUCCCUCCAUCUAAGUCCAAACUCCCUAAAACUUUCCUCGGAUUUUUUUUCCAACUUAGAUAAGGAGGAUCGGUCUGGGAUAAUGUCUAGAUUGUACUGAUCAAACAAAAUCUUGAGCCAUUUCAUCCCAUGCAUGCCACUUAUUGACAUUUUGACGAGUAUAUCAUUCCAAGGCUGCCCCACUCAAGCUCUCACUAAAAUAUGCGAUCAACAAUUCAUCUUUCCCGCCAACACUUCUCAUUUCACUGCAAUAAACCCUCAGAUAGGCUACUAGGUCUCCAUGCCCAUCAUACAUGUUAAACUUUGGUAUUUUAAAUCAUGCGGCCAAGUGAACGUCAUGGAACAUACACAGAUCCUUGAAGGCAAUACUCUUCUGACAUGCCAACGCUUGCAUGUUUCAUAAAGACUGCUCUAAGAUUUUCACCUUCCUGGAUAUCUCAUCUUGCUCCACUGUCUUAGUAGAAUUUUCAGUUUCACCGGGAGGCUCAAAAUGAGGAGCGUGAGAGUAUGGAUCCGAGACCUUGAAAGUUGGUUCUGGAGCAUAAUGUUGGGCAUCAGGGAUGUCGAACACAGUCUCGCUAGAGGAUCGAGGAAAGGUAGCUGGUGGAUGAUCUACAAAAAUAUGAGUGGUCAAAGGAGCGAGAUAUGAGGUGGUUUUGGUGAGUGGAGUGUGAAAAGUUUGUGGAGAGAUGUCAGCAGCAGUGGGAAUCUGGAUUUGUGACAGUGGCGGAAUAGUGACAAGGCUUUCAGGGUAGUUAGUGGAAAAUAAUGGUGGAGGACGCCCACUAAUCUAGGCUUGGUAUUUUUCAGCCAUCUGUCCUUUCAACCUUAAGACCUCUUCUUUCAACUUAGAUUCUUACUCAACAAUCUCCUUAGACGGAUCAAUAACACCCGUGUCCAAGUCUUUGCUAGCCAUGACUACCUUGAUCUUUGACCUUGUGUUGUAUGGAUGAGUUACUUAAGAGCCACAAACCAACCACCCUUCUCAAUGAAGAUAACAAAAGGAACAAAAUGGGGUCAUCUUGUCAGCGUUAGAGCAUUUAACAGCUAAAAAUAUCACAUUGCGUGCAAUGCACCUAGAAACAAUUAAUGGUUCUAGAAUGACUUCGAGGGUCACAAGGUCACUUGGCAUCAUCCCAAUUUUGUUCAUUUCAAUCUUCUCUUUUCUUUCUUUUCUAGCACUUCUUGGCUUGCUUAUUUUCCUUCCUCUUUUUUUUCUUCUUCUAAUUAUCACUCUUUUCUUUCCUCUUAUUUCUCGCAUCCCAUAAUUUCACCUCUCUUUUUUCUUUUAAUUUUAUUUUUAAAAAUAAUUCGAUCGAACCUUAUGUAGAUUGCAUACGUAUCAUGUUCCACAUGAAUCAUACCAAGCGUAGUUCUAGAAAAGUAAUUUAUAAAUUAAACUAAAAAAAUAAAAAACUUUUUGGAUUAUUCAUUACAACAACCUUUUUUUUCAUUUUCAAAUACAAAACAGGAAAUAUGAUAACGAGAGACUCAACUCAACUAUACUACGACAAACUCUGACACUAACUAUAAGAAUUAUUACUACUGGACAUGACUAUAAGGUACAAAACAACAUAAAAAGAAACAGACUCAAAACAUAAAAAAUCUCCUUAAGCAACUCCUGGAUGCAGCAGUCCUGACCAGAUUGUCCUGGGGUAUCUGUCAUGCUCAAACUCCGGUAAGUAAAUCCACACCUGUAUAAGAAAACUCAAACCAAAUAGAGUUAAAGACCUAGAACACUAUGUGAGACAAUAACACUUCCUGUUGGACACAUGCAAGACAUGAUUGAAGCUAUUUUUGCAAAAUAGCUUAUGUGGCCAAAAUGUGGUUGGAAGUGCAAACUCAACAAAAAUGACCUCUAAGACAUGGAAAAAUUACUUUGCCGAAAUGACCCAUGUGGCAAAAAAUGGCUAAGCAUGCAAAUUCAACAUAAUGGACCUUAAACAGAGAGGACACCUUGUUGUGGACUUAGGACUCUAAGACAUGGGUUAAUUGAACCACUUUUGCGAAAAUAACCUAUUUUGCAAAAUGGCCUAUGUGUCCAAAAGCGGCUAGACAUGAAAUUUUGACAAGGACGGACCUUUAAAGUAAAGAGACACCUAAUUGUGGAUUCAAGACUCUUCAGACAAUUAAACAAACUACUUUGCAAAAAUAGCCAUAUUUUACAAAAUGACCGAUGUGGCCAAAAGUGGCUAGACAUGCAAGAUGUGGCUACGACCUUCGAAGCCAAGAACCUAAGACUUACUAGGAAGACCGGACCCUAUGUGGGUUGCCUACGUAUUAUGCCCCGAAAGAUGAGAAUCAGGUAUGCGUAGUUCGGAAAGAUUGGAUACAAGCGAGAAUUAAACAAUAACAAAUAAUUUAGAGAAAAUAUAUUUUUUGUCUUUUUUUUUGAAAAAUGAUGAAACAUGUAAACUCUUUUUGAUUUUCUUUUUCUCUUUUUUUAUUCUUUUUUUGGAAAAUAAUGGGAAAGUGCAAAAUCUUUUUGGAUUUUUCAUGUUUUUUUUUCUUUUUCUUGAAAAAAACAAAUUGUGAAAGAAACAUAUAACUGGGCCCUACUUGCUUUAUUUUUAUACUUCAACCUCUUUUCUUUCUCAUUUACCCUCAAACCUCAUUGGUCCGCCAAAUGACCCCUUUUACCCUUGAAGAUUGCAAUAUGUAACACAUAGGAUGCAUCAGGAUGGUCUUUUAUUUUUGGGUACACCUGUCCUACACGGACCCAACCCAUGUGUUGAGUCCCCAAAGUCAAAUGCACGUGAUGCAAACAAACUUUCCUACUAGGGAUCCGACAUGAGGCUAUGUUAUUAUAGUUUUAAAACCUAGGUGUAUUGUUCUAGACCUGACUUACCCGAGCGGACAACUCAAGCCGGGAGAGAGGGCGGCGUACCGGUAACCAAAAGAUCAUCCGACCUUGCAACUUGUUCGAGCCUCGUUCUAAAUUGGGAUAUGACACUAACAGAAAAGAACUCAUGCCAGCAUGCACUUCCCAGAAGAUUAGAAGAGAAGGGUUUCACAGCAAUUUAUAUGUAGUUCAAAUUAUAUCAAAGCGGUAAAAAGCGAUAUUUAGCACAUUAGGCCCAAGCAUGUAAUAAAAAUGAGAUAAUAACUAAAAGCCAAAUAUAACAAUUAUUCUAAGCUCGAAUUCUUGAACCCUGAACCAGAGAUUCUGGGUUCUUAGUCCCCAGCAGAGUCGCCAGAGCUGUCACACCUCAUUUUUCUACCCCGAAAAAGUAUAGGGGAGUUUUUCCAAUUAAAGUAACAAUAACCAAAACAUGAUUAUUUAUGUUAAAAUUCAGAGUCGCCACUUGGGAUAAUUUAUGGUGUCCCAAGUCACCGAUUUAAAAUUCCGAAUCGAGGAAAAUUUUGACUCUGUUUCACAGUCCGCGAAACACAGAAAUCCGGAUAAAAUUUUUUUUAAACUCGAGAGAAGGUGUUAGGCAUUCCCGGGUUCCAUGGUUUAGCACGGUCGCUCAACUAUUAUUAAUUGGCCUAAUUAUCUGAUUAACGACAUGUUUUAUUCCUAUUGUGCAUUUUUAAACUUAUAACCGCUUUUAUUGUUUAUAGCACAAAUCAUGAUGGCCGCACACAUUACAAACCGCGUCACAUGAAAUGCACCCGCAAUUUACAACAUGUUUAUUUUAUUAUUAUUAGAAGUUAUGGUCGGGUCACAUGAAAUGCACACCUGAAUUAGGGAUUGGGUAUCACGAUCAUGCCACGGGAACCGUACCCAUAGUCGUGAUGAUUUAAUAUUAAUCGUGCCUAAAGCAAGCUACGAUCUUUAUGAAUACUACUGGCCUAAGCAUGCUCCUAAUAGUCAAAACAAAAUAAAUAAGGCAGUAAACAUGUAAUCCUAAUCUCUCUUUCACUGAACUAAGCCCAGACCAUUAUUUGCUUCUUUUAAUCCACUUCCUUAACUCAAGUUCCAAAAUCGAUUUAUCAGAAAUAGCAUUUUGUAUUUCUUUGCCUAAUCUUUGCUUAACAAUAUAAAUCACUAUUGAAUUCCAAACAUUAAUAAUUAAACAAUGGAACUACUUUAAUAACUCAACAUUAACAAACACACUAUAAAUUCUACAAUUAACACCAAAUUCAUAAGAAACUCAUAGGAGAACAAACAGUCACAGAAGCAAUUUUACAUUUAUCGCCACUAUUAACAAGUAAAAUAAGAGAAGGGAGAGAUAUUGAACCUCAAUAGCAAUAAAAAUCAGCAAUUACACAGAUCUUGACCCCAAAAUUUGAGCGAGGAAAUAACGACAAAAAUCUGACAGGAAACCGCGGACAACGACUCGGAACCACGACCUUGAAUAAGAACUCGAAUGCAAGAUUUGCCUCCCAAAAUUUGGAUCUCUUAAUCAAAAACUCAACACAGCUCCAUUUCAAAUCAGAAAAACGAAGGCUUGAAACCAGAUUCCUAUCAAACCCAAUCCAUCGCCAACCGCAAAUACUCGUGGUCGUUUAUACAGAUCUAAGAGACCUUUCACUGACUUUUUCUUUUUUCUGCCUUUUU